This 379-nucleotide ribosomal RNA is filed under the name uncultured bacterium. RNAcentral describes it as "bacterial SSU rRNA". It matches the Rfam family "Bacterial small subunit ribosomal RNA", at positions 355 to 726 of the family's 1533-position model. The record is from RNAcentral.
UAGGGAAUCUUCGGCAAUGGACGGAAGUCUGACCGAGCAACGCCGCGUGAGUGAAGAAGGUUUUCGGAUCGUAAAGCUCUGUUGUUAGAGAAGAACGGUAAUGGGAGUGGAAAAUCCAUUACGUGACGGUAACUAACCAGAAAGGGACGGCUAACUACGUGCCAGCAGCCGCGGUAAUACGUAGGUCUCGAGCGUUGUCCGGAUUUAUUGGGCGUAAAGCGAGCGCAGGCGGUUCUAUAAGUCUGAAGUAAAAGGCAGUGGCUCAACCAUUGUAUGCUUUGGAAACUGUAGAACUUGAGUGCAGAAGGGGAGAGUGGAAUUCCAUGUGUAGCGGUGAAAUGCGUAGAUAUAUGGAGGAACACCGGUGGCGAAAGCGGCU